RNAcentral lists this ribosomal RNA (497 nucleotides) under uncultured bacterium. RNAcentral describes it as "partial 16S ribosomal RNA". It matches the Rfam family "Bacterial small subunit ribosomal RNA", at positions 28 to 507 of the family's 1533-position model. The record is from RNAcentral.
GAUGAACGCUGGCGGCGUGCCUAAUACAUGCAAGUCGAGCGAACGGACGAGAAGCUUGCUUCUCUGAUGUUAGCGGCGGACGGGUAAGUAACACGUGGAUAACCUACCUAUAAGACUGGGAUAACUUCGGGAAACCGGAGCUAAUACCGGAUAAUAUUUUGAACCGCAUGGUUCAAAAGUGAAAGACGGUCUUGCUGUCACUUAUAGAUGGAUCCGCGCUGCAUUAGCUAGUUGGUAAGGUAACGGCUUACCAAGGCAACGAUGCAUAGCCGACCUGAGAGGGUGAUCGGCCACACUGGAACUGAGACACGGUCCAGACUCCUACGGGAGGCAGCAGUAGGGAAUCUUCCGCAAUGGGCGAAAGCCUGACGGAGCAACGCCGCGUGAGUGAUGAAGGUCUUCGGAUCGUAAAACUCUGUUAUUAGGGAAGAACAUAUGUGUAAGUAACUGUGCACAUCUUGAUGGUACCUAAUCAGAAAGCCACGGCUAACUACGUG